RNAcentral lists this long non-coding RNA (1620 nucleotides) under Nothobranchius furzeri (turquoise killifish). RNAcentral's name for it is "lncRNA (ENSNFUG00015003836.1)". The record is from RNAcentral. Lineage: Eukaryota; Metazoa; Chordata; Actinopteri; Cyprinodontiformes; Nothobranchiidae.
AUGUGGUCCAGCAGGAUUUCUGUGUGCCUCGCACUGGCCUGGAUCAUCCUGUCGCUCAUUCUUCUGUCCGUGGAUGGCCUUCUCCAGUACUCGGCGGCGGAGCUCUUCAACCUCCGCUUUCGCUACUCCGGAUCUCCACCACCAGCUCUGUGCCUCUUCCCCGACAUCACCUUCCAGCCUCGCCGUCGGUAUAUCCAUCGGGGGUCCCGGCGGAACCUCCAUCUCGACGGCUCCAAAGGAAUACCCUCCUUCUGGUCCACGACUAGCCGGCGGCUACCCAGGAAUACCUGCCGAGCUGCCGACUCCAGCGUGUUAGCCCGGCUGGCUAGUCGGACUAAUGCUCCUGUCGCCAGGGACUUCCGCACUGCUAAUUUUGGUCUUCUCAACAUUCGCUCCCUCUCUGGUAAAGGACAUCUCCUCCAAGAUACCAUCAGUGACCAUAAGCUAGACUUUCUUUGUCUGAACGAAACAUGGCAACAACCCAGCGAUUUCUCACAACUCAAUGACUGUACUCCUCCCGGAUUUGUUUACCUCUCCAAACCCCGUGGGUCGGGCCGCGGCGGUGGUCUCGCGAUACUGUAUCGCGAGACUUGGAAGGUCCUUCCCGUAAACCUUCCUCCUCUCACCACUCUGGAAUGCCUCGCCUGUCAACUCUCCGGCCCGACCCCCACAAUAAUUGUCACUGUUUAUCGUCCCCCCAAGUUCAGCCCUGAGUUUUUAAAUGAACUCUCUGCUCUUUUAUCCCAUCUGUCCGCCCUUUCCCCAAAUGUAAUUUUACUUGGUGAUUUUAAUAUUCAUAUGGACAAUAUGGCCCUCCCCCUCAGCAAAGACUUCUCCUCAUCUUUGGACAGCCUCAGUUUUCAUCAAUAUGCCAAUUUUCCCACUCACAUUAAAGGUCACACCCUGGAUUUAAUCUGCUGCUCCGGCCUGACCCCCUCCAACUGUACAGCUGACCCGCUCCCUUUCACGGACCACUUCCUCAUCUCCUUUUCUGUUCCCCUCCGUCUCUCCAUCAUCAAGUCACCACGUAUCAUUUCUUUUCGUAAUAUUAAGGACAUUGAUCUAGCCUCCCUGUCCUCCAGUUUUGCCACCUUGACCCCUAAUUUGUCCUCUACUCCCGAUGAUCUUGUCAUUCAGUACAAUAACGGUCUGGUUUCUAUCCUUAAUUCAUUUGCUCCCAUCAAAUCCCGCUCUGUAUAUUUUACUCGGUCUGCUCCAUGGUUCACCCCUGCCCUUCGCUCCUUGAAAGCUACCAACCGGAGGCUUGAAAGACUCUACAAGAAAACCGGUCUCACCAUCCAUAAAGACUUAUAUUCUGCUCAGAUUUCUCUCUACAAGGACUCCAUCUCCCAUGCCAAAUCUCAGUAUUACUCCGGUCUCAUCUCGUCCAACUCCAGCAACACUAAAACAUUAUUUUCCAUCAUGAACAGCAUUUUUCAGCCUCCCGACUCCUUACCCAUCCAUCUUUACUCUUCAGAAACCUGUAACUCUCUCCUUCAGUUUUUUAAUGAGAAGGUCAAUAGAAUCCAUCUCUCUUUACCUCAUUCCUCCCCUCCCUCUCCUGAUUNUCGACUAUUGCAAUUCACUUCUUUAUGGUCUCCCCAACAAACUCCUUCAUAA